GUCGACGGGAUCUGACCAGCUUGCUGGUUGGUGAGAGUGGCGAACGGGUGAGUAAUGCGUGACCAACCUGCCCCAUGCUCCAGAAUAGCUCUUGGAAACGGGUGGUAAUGCUGGAUGCUCCAACUUGACGCAUGUCUUGUUGGGAAAGUGUUUAGUGGCAUGGGAUGGGGUCGCGUCCCAUCAGCUUGUAGGCGGGGUAAUGGCCCACCUAGGCUUCGACGGGUAGCCGGCCUGAGAGGGCGGACGGCCACAUUGGGACUGAGAUACGGCCCAGACUCCUACGGGAGGCAGCAGUGGGGAAUAUUGCGCAAUGGGGGGAACCCUGACGCAGCGACGCCGCGUGCGGGAUGAAGGCCUUCGGGUUGUAAACCGCUUUUGAUUGGGAGCAAGCCUUUUGGGUGAGUGUACCUUUCGAAUAAGCGCCGGCUAACUACGUGCCAGCAGCCGCGGUAAUACGUAGGGCGCAAGCGUUAUCCGGAAUUAUUGGGCGUAAAGAGCUUGUAGGCGGUUCGUCGCGUCUGGUGUGAAAGCCCAUCGCUUAACGGUGGGUUUGCGCCGGGUACGGGCGGGCUAGAGUGCAGUAGGGGAGACUGGAAUUCUCGGUGUAACGGUGGAAUGUGUAGAUAUCGGGAAGAACACCAAUGGCGAAGGCAGGUCUCUGGGCUGUUACUGACGCUGAGAAGCGAAAGCGUGGGGAGCGAACAGGAUUAGAUACCCUGGUAGUCCACGCCGUANACGGUGGACGCUNNNUGUGGGGCCCAUUCCACGGGUUCUGUGUCGGAGCNUACGCGUUAAG
This 796-nucleotide ribosomal RNA is filed under the name uncultured bacterium. Its description in RNAcentral is "bacterial SSU rRNA". It matches the Rfam family "Bacterial small subunit ribosomal RNA", at positions 61 to 864 of the family's 1533-position model. The record is from RNAcentral.